AAUCAGAGUCCACAUAUGUUCGGGGGAGGGACCCCAGAAGGCGGCUGACAGUAUUCCUUUAGCCAGAAAUCCCUUCAGGGAAGAGAAAGGUGCUCCCCUUUGCCUGCUUUUAUACUACAGACUGUUUCCAACUCCAGCUAGAAGUGACUAUUGCCGAUUAUGCUAAUCAGUGGCGACAAGCUCCCUUUGACUGCUCACUUCUCCAGUGAGGCUUCAAGCUUCUAGGCAUCAAGAUUAUAUUUUCCAGAAAAUAUUUCAAGCAGAAUAUACUUAUUUUCCAGUUUUGAAAACAACUAGAUUGCCCAUCUCCAUUUCUCUCUAUCAUCUACUGUAUUAUUCUAUGGACAACUGCCACCCUAAUAAGGUCAAGAAGGGAAGCCAGAAGUCAAGGCCACAGAAGACACAGGAAACAUCAUUUCCAAAGUGGGAGACAAAGCUGUUAACAGGAAAUUAUUUGUAAAGUCAAGAGCCAAGCAAAACAGAAAAAGGACAAGAAAUCUAUCACCUGUGGGUAUGAAUGGUUCUAGGGAAGUCUGUUGACAAUUGGAGGGUCUCAAAGGCGCUUUAUGGUACUUAUUUUAUGACCCUGAGUCUGGAGUCUGAUGAAUUAAAGAGGAAAUUCUGCUCUGGGCAACAUUUAAGAGAUAGUAUCUCCAGGCAGUAACUUUCGUAUUAACUCUCAUAAGAUUGAUGCCAUUCUGUCAUCUAAAGUGUGGACAAAAGUAGCAUUAAAGCAAAAUGAAAGGAU
Molecule: long non-coding RNA, 748 nt
Filed under: Homo sapiens (human)
Lineage: Eukaryota; Metazoa; Chordata; Mammalia; Primates; Hominidae
Description: HSALNT0375979
Source: RNAcentral